UAAGGUUGCUCUACUAUUUAUCUAAAGGAUAUAGAUUUAAAAUAUGAAAAUAGCCUUUCCACGUGAGACUAGUGCGAUGUGCAUCUAUCCUACCCAAACCCUGCGAUAGCAGGAGCCUCAUGCACUAGGCUUGUAAUUAAGCUACUAAGCUUAAAAAUCAUGAUCUAUUCACAUGACCGCAUAUGCACUUACUAAAUCAAUCUUCAUUCAAGUGAAACUACA
Molecule: long non-coding RNA, 222 nt
Filed under: Elaeis guineensis (African oil palm)
Lineage: Eukaryota; Viridiplantae; Streptophyta; Magnoliopsida; Arecales; Arecaceae
Description: long non-coding RNA (EGUI_LNC078672)
Source: RNAcentral